This 252-nucleotide ribosomal RNA is filed under the name uncultured bacterium. Its description in RNAcentral is "partial 16S ribosomal RNA". It matches the Rfam family "Bacterial small subunit ribosomal RNA", at positions 524 to 776 of the family's 1533-position model. The record is from RNAcentral.
UACGGGGGGGUAAGCGUUGUUCGGAAUUACUGGGCGUAAAGGGCUCGUAGGCGGCCAACUAAGUCAGACGUGAAAUCCCCGGGCUCAACCUGGGAACUGCAUCUGUGACUGCAUAGCUAGAGUACGGUAGAGGGGGAUGGAAUUCCGCGUGUAGCAGUGAAAUGCGUAGAUAUGCGGAGGAACACCGAUGGCGAAGGCAAUCCCCUGGACCUGUACUGACGCUCAUGCACGAAAGCGUGGGGAGCAAACAGG